This 111-nucleotide ribosomal RNA is filed under the name Neogale vison (American mink). Lineage: Eukaryota; Metazoa; Chordata; Mammalia; Carnivora; Mustelidae. The record is from RNAcentral.
GUCUACGGCCAUACCACCCUGAACGCACCCGAUCUCAUCUGAUCUCGGAAGCUAAGCAGGGUCGGGCCUGGUUAGUACUUGGAUGGGAGAAAGGUCUUAGAUGGGCAGACA